Molecule: ribosomal RNA, 791 nt
Filed under: Salmonella enterica
Lineage: Bacteria; Pseudomonadati; Pseudomonadota; Gammaproteobacteria; Enterobacterales; Enterobacteriaceae
Also listed under: 1 other name
Description: partial 23S ribosomal RNA
Rfam family: Bacterial large subunit ribosomal RNA
Source: RNAcentral
CCGAACCGACUAAUGUUGAAAAAUUAGCGGAUGACCUGUGGCUGGGGGUGAAAGGCCAAUCAAACCGGGAGAUAGCUGGUUCUCCCCGAAAGCUAUUUAGGUAGCGCCUCGUGAAUUCAUCUCCGGGGGUAGAGCACUGUUUCGGCUAGGGGGCCAUCCCGGCUUACCAACCCGAUGCAAACUGCGAAUACCGGAGAAUGUUAUCACGGGAGACACACGGCGGGUGCUAACGUCCGUCGUGAAGAGGGAAACAACCCAGACCGCCAGCUAAGGUCCCAAAGUCAUGGUUAAGUGGGAAACGAUGUGGGAAGGCCCAGACAGCCAGGAUGUUGGCUUAGAAGCAGCCAUCAUUUAAAGAAAGCGUAAUAGCUCACUGGUCGAGUCGGCCUGCGCGGAAGAUGUAACGGGGCUAAACCAUGCACCGAAGCUGCGGCAGCGACACUGUGUGUUGUUGGGUAGGGGAGCGUUCUGUAAGCCUGCGAAGGUGGCCUGUGAGGGUUGCUGGAGGUAUCAGAAGUGCGAAUGCUGACAUAAGUAACGAUAAAGCGGGUGAAAAGCCCGCUCGCCGGAAGACCAAGGGUUCCUGUCCAACGUUAAUCGGGGCAGGGUGAGUCGACCCCUAAGGCGAGGCCGAAAGGCGUAGUCGAUGGGAAACGGGUUAAUAUUCCCGUACUUGGUGUUACUGCGAAGGGGGGACGGAGAAGGCUAUGUUGGCCGGGCGACGGUUGUCCCGGUUUAAGCGUGUAGGCUGGUUUUCCAGGCAAAUCCGGAAAAUCAAGGCUGAGGCGUGA